GUGAGUAACACGUGAGCAACCUGCCCUGGACUCUGGGAUAAGCGCUGGAAACGGCGUCUAAUACUGGAUAUGAGACGUGAUCGCAUGGUCGUGUUUGGAAAGAUUUUUCGGUCUGGGAUGGGCUCGCGGCCUAUCAGCUUGUUGGUGAGGUAAUGGCUCACCAAGGCGUCGACGGGUAGCCGGCCUGAGAGGGUGACCGGCCACACUGGGACUGAGACACGGCCCAGACUCCUACGGGAGGCAGCAGUGGGGAAUAUUGCACAAUGGGCGGAAGCCUGAUGCAGCAACGCCGCGUGAGGGAUGACGGCCUUCGGGUUGUAAACCUCUUUUAGCAGGGAAGAAGCGAAAGUGACGGUACCUGCAGAAAAAGCGCCGGCUAACUACGUGCCAGCAGCCGCGGUAAUACGUAGGGCGCAAGCGUUAUCCGGAAUUAUUGGGCGUAAAGAGCUCGUAGGCGGUUUGUCGCGUCUGCUGUGAAAUCCCGAGGCUCAACCUCGGGCCUGCAGUGGGUACGGGCAGACUAGAGUGCGGUAGGGGAGAUUGGAAUUCCUGGUGUAGCGGUGGAAUGCGCAGAUAUCAGGAGGAACACCGAUGGCGAAGGCAGAUCUCUGGGCCGUAACUGACGCUGAGGAGCGAAAGGGUGGGGAGCAAACAGGCUUAGAUACCCUGGUAGUCCACCCCGUAAACGUUGGGAACUAGUUGUGGGGACCAUUCCACGGUUUCCGUGACGCAGCUAACGCAUUAAGUUCCCCGCCUGGGGAGUACGGCCGCAAGGCUAAAACUCAAAGGAAUUGACGGGGACCCGCACAAGCGGCGGAGCAUGCGGAUUAAUUCGAUGCAACGCGAAGAACCUUACCAAGGCUUGACAUAUACGAGAACGGGCCAGAAAUGGUCAACUCUUUGGACACUCGUAAACAGGUGGUGCAUGGUUGUCGUCAGCUCGUGUCGUGAGAUGUUGGGUUAAGUCCCGCAACGAGCGCAACCCUCGUUCUAUGUUGCCAGCACGUAAUGGUGGGAACUCAUGGGAUACUGCCGGGGUCAACUCGGAGGAAGGUGGGGAUGACGUCAAAUCAUCAUGCCCCUUAUGUCUUGGGCUUCACGCAUGCUACAAUGGCCGGUACAAAGGGCUGCAAUACCGUGAGGUGGAGCGAAUCCCAAAAAGCCGGUCCCAGUUCGGAUUGAGGUCUGCAACUCGACCUCAUGAAGUCGGAGUCGCUAGUAAUCGCAGAUCAGCAACGCUGCGGUGAAUACGUUCCCGGGUCUUGUACACACCGCCCGUCAAGUCAUGA
Molecule: ribosomal RNA, 1289 nt
Filed under: Microbacterium testaceum
Lineage: Bacteria; Bacillati; Actinomycetota; Actinomycetes; Micrococcales; Microbacteriaceae
Description: bacterial SSU rRNA
Rfam family: Bacterial small subunit ribosomal RNA
Source: RNAcentral